GAUGGUUUGAUCAUGGCUCAGGACGAACGCUGGCGGCGUGCUUAACACAUGCAAGUCGAACGGAAAGGCCCUUUCGGGGUACUCGAGUGGCGAACGGGUGAGUAACACGUGGGUGAUCUGCCCUGCACUUUGGGAUAAGCCUGGGAAACUGGGUCUAAUACCGAAUAGGACCACGCGCUUCAUGGUGUGUGGUGGAAAGCUUUUGCGGUGUGGGAUGGGCCCGCGGCCUAUCAGCUUGUUGGUGGGGUAAUGGCCUACCAAGGCGACGACGGGUAGCCGGCCUGAGAGGGUGACCGGCCACACUGGGACUGAGAUACGGCCCAGACUCCUACGGGAGGCAGCAGUGGGGAAUAUUGCACAAUGGGCGCAAGCCUGAUGCAGCGACGCCGCGUGAGGGAUGACGGCCUUCGGGUUGUAAACCUCUUUCAAUAGGGACGAAGCGCAAGUGACGGUACCUAUAGAAGAAGCACCGGCCAACUACGUGCCAGCAGCCGCGGUAAUACGUAGGGUGCGAGCGUUGUCCGGAAUUACUGGGCGUAAAGAGCUCGUAGGUGGUUUGUCGCGUUGUUCGUGAAAACUCACAGCUUAACUGUGGGCGUGCGGGCGAUACGGGCAGACUAGAGUACUGCAGGGGAGACUGGAAUUCCUGGUGUAGCGGUGGAAUGCGCAGAUAUCAGGAGGAACACCGGUGGCGAAGGCGGGUCUCUGGGCAGUAACUGACGCUGAGGAGCGAAAGCGUGGGGAGCGAACAGGAUUAGAUACCCUGGUAGUCCACGCCGUAAACGGUGGGUACUAGGUGUGGGUUCCUUCCUUGGGAUCCGUGCCGUAGCUAACGCAUUAAGACCCGCCUGG
Molecule: ribosomal RNA, 852 nt
Filed under: uncultured bacterium
Lineage: Bacteria
Description: bacterial SSU rRNA
Rfam family: Bacterial small subunit ribosomal RNA
Source: RNAcentral